UGGAAUCUUAGCAACCAUCCAUUGUAUGUCGAGAGGAUGCGUAACUGGUUUCUCGAUGUAUGCCUUCGUGGUCUUGAAGUCAAUGUCUUUACGUUUACCAUAGAAACCAGCACAUGACAAAUACAACGGGAUAAUGAUUGAAAACUUUUCAACCAAUGUCUCAACUGUUUUAUGACGGUUUGCUCUUACCAUGGAUCAUAAACAUAAA
Molecule: long non-coding RNA, 208 nt
Filed under: Nicotiana benthamiana
Lineage: Eukaryota; Viridiplantae; Streptophyta; Magnoliopsida; Solanales; Solanaceae
Description: long non-coding RNA (NBEN_LNC036684)
Source: RNAcentral